UUCAAUAGCACAUAUGCUGAACCGUAGUGCGUGAAAUAUUGAUGGUGCAUAUAUUAGAAAAAGGAGACCUUUAGAAAUUGAAACAGUAACGUUUAAACAAAAGAUUGUCUGCUCUUGGGAACAAUCUGCCAUGCAUACUUUACGUAGAUCGCAUGUUACGCACUCGUGGGCUUAGCAAAGUGCUCCAGGAUUCAAAUUAUAACAAUGGUUGAUUUCUAAAGGUCUCCUUUUGCUA
Paramuricea clavata is the source of this 235-nucleotide non-coding RNA. The record is from the annotation of a GenBank genome assembly. NCBI's taxonomy places the organism in Eukaryota, Metazoa, Cnidaria, Anthozoa, Malacalcyonacea, Plexauridae.